GCCCAGUGCCGGAAGACUACUGCUCCCGGCAUGCCAUGCCAAGCAACAUGGCCGCCCGGAAGCCAAGCGCCGGAAGACUACUGCUCCCGGCAUGCCAUGCCAGGCAACCUGGCCGCCCGGAAGCCCAGUGCCGGAAGGCAGAAGCUUCCUCGACACUCGAAUCGAGCAGAUAUCGCGGCGGAGGAACGGGCUUUCCAUUUCCAGCAGAGGAAGACAGCUCGCUGUUGAUUCCAUUUGAUUUUAUUACUUCAGCUUGCUCACAUUUUUCUGGUCUCUUCAGCUUCAGCCAUGGCAAUUAAUCUAAAAAAUUCCUUUUAUGCUUGGAUGCUGGCCUCACAGGUGAUGACCCAAAUGAACAACUGGAUCACUAGGUCUAGCUGCUUCUCUUCAAGAUGUGCCCCUUCAGUGGACUACCCUGUCAAACAAACCAGAAAGACUGAUGGGGCUGUGAGGGUAUCAGAUUUUUGGACCACUUCUCCGAAGCCUUCAGGGUGACUGACAUAACCACCUCUCUUCACAUUACUCAAAGCUACAUUCAUCUAUUACUUUGGACUAAGCUGUUUCUAUUUUAAGAGGGGACUGUUGCUUGUUUAAGCUUUACAUACGGUCCAUUACCUGCUAUGCAUCAUCUCUAGUCCCUUCUGCUUUCGCAACACUUUCAGUAACUCGAGGUGAUAAUUAUUCACUGUGGUGGUAUUCGAGGUGGUAUAAUCAUUGUCAUCCUAUAGGCUGCAGUAAGACAUUUCUCCUGCUCUGAGAAUGUGCCUAAAAGACAUGCUGCUUUCUCUAGCAUCACUGGGGCUUCCCAGAGCCCAUCAGCGUUCUCUUAGGCUUUUCCCGAGCCUUUGAUUUUUGUAGUUUAUUCCUUAGCCUGCAAUUUUAUGUUAAAGUUCUCCUUAAGCAUUGCGCACAGCACAAUUAUCCCAGAUCAGCCACAUCGUGCACGUACAGAGGCUUCCGAGAGGUGACUCAGAAGAAAAGAGAGAAAACGUGGUCUGUCACCUGUACAUCCACCUGUCAACACUCUUCACCAGGAAGUGCUGUAAACACCCUUUUCUCUAAAGUGGGACUGAGUCAAGGAGGAGACACAGAUCGCAUCUCAUCUUUAUUAAAACAUCUCACUGCUGUGGGGACCGCA
Molecule: long non-coding RNA, 1138 nt
Organism: Dromaius novaehollandiae (emu)
Lineage: Eukaryota; Metazoa; Chordata; Aves; Casuariiformes; Dromaiidae
Exons: 3
Source: RefSeq, a predicted model, not a curated record